This 472-nucleotide ribosomal RNA is filed under the name uncultured bacterium. Its description in RNAcentral is "bacterial SSU rRNA". It matches the Rfam family "Bacterial small subunit ribosomal RNA", at positions 335 to 802 of the family's 1533-position model. The record is from RNAcentral.
ACUCCUACGGGAGGCAGCAGUGGGGAAUAUUGCACAAUGGGGGAAACCCUGAUGCAGCCAUGCCGCGUGUGUGAAGAAGGCCUUCGGGUUGUAAAGCACUUUCAGUAGGGAGGAAGGUAGUGUAGUUAACACCUGCAUUAUUUGACGUUACCUACAGAAGAAGCACCGGCUAACUCUGCCAGCAGCCGCGGUAAUACGGAGGGUGCGAGCGUUAAUCGGAAUUACUGGGCGUAAAGCGUGCGCAGGCGGUUUGUUAAGCGAGAUGUGAAAGCCCCGGGCUCAACCUGGGAAUUGCAUUUCGAACUGGCAAGCUAGAGUCUUGUAGAGGGGGGUAGAAUUUCAGGUGUAGCGGUGAAAUGCGUAGAGAUCUGAAGGAAUACCGGUGGCGAAGGCGGCCCCCUGGCACAAAGACUGACGCUCAUGCACGAAAGCGUGGGGAGCAAACAGGAUUAGAUACCCUGGUAGCGAGUAG